UUUUCCUGUGCAAAGCCAGCACUUGAGCACUGAGCUGUUAGAACAGAACUUACUGCUCUUAAUGAUCAGCACAGAGCAGCUGUUCUUGGGUUCAGAUGUGACAAAGAGACGAUUUUGAACUGUAAAUAAUGCUUUUACAGUGGUAAGGUAAAAACUAGCCUUAAGUGCAGGAGACAGCUGCUGGGAGUUAUGCUAAGGUUGGAAGCCCCAUCUGUGUGCAGUCUGUCAUCAGCUCUGACCUUUAGGGGCUUGGCAUUAGUUAAAUAGUGCAACUCCAGCACCAGGAGAGCUGGCAUACCAAACAGCACUCAGCUCCUCCAGCUCUCUUAUGUGGUAAAGAUUUCUAAACCUUACAUCCUUAAUCUCCAGAAUCUGUUAUUUUCAACAGGUGAUGUGGCUGGCACUGGGCUCUUUUGCUAGCAAUUGUGCUAGGUAAUUAUGUAGAAAAUCCUCAGUAAAUUGCCCUGAUGGUCUGCCAGCCAGGAGUAAGCAGAAUGAAAACUGGCAGUCACGUUCAGGAGCUUUUGUCAGAGACAGGAUGGACAUAUUUUUUUUUAAGCUCUUUAGAUAUGAUACAACACAGAUACUGAAAUUGUAGGACCUUGCUCACAGUCUUUUGUUAUCAAUCCUUUUCAAGCAGCAGAAGCCAAUAGUUUUAUGAAGCCAUGAGUUUUAGUAGGUAAUUUAUCUGCAACAGUGCCUAUUCUGUUUGCUGUGCAUACCACCAGUUCAUCUAAGAAGCCAGCUGCGUUGCAUUACCUGUUUCCAUCCUCUCAAAUUGGAUCUCCUAACGAACCAGGCUCUCCUGGUGCCAGUUGUCUCUGCAAGGAUGGAAACUGCUGACAAAUCAAAAGUCACAGCUCAAUUAGUCUGAAAUCCCUCAUUGCACAGAUCUUAACAGCUCUCUGGAAAGAUGAGCAACUCAAGGCAUUAUGUAUUAUUAGUGCAAAUAAGAAUGAGAAGUGCCCUGCAGAAUUAGGAAAAGCUAGUCCUAAACUGCUUCCAGUUUCCCCAGUAACCUAAAGGCUAUCUGGUUAAGCAACUUCUGACAACAGCACUGUUCAUUUUAGUACUUCCUGAUACCAGCUGCUUUUGAGUGUGUAAGUUCGGCUGCAACUUCUUAGCCUGGACACACUCAGCCAGGACGUGUUACUGGAAGAGGGGAUCAGCACUGGUUGCUUCAGCGGCAUUGGCAGGUGUUCCCAUCACUGAUGCCUGUUUUCUUUGCCUCUGGAGCCAGAGAGAGAAAGCUGAAAUGGAAGUUAGGAUUGGCAAGAGAAGAGCGAGGUAUAAAAACAUGAAUCUCAGCAUUCUUACCACAGCUAUGGUUAUAGCUAGAGAUACAGCAAAGAUAAAAUAUGCAGAGUGCCUGAAGGACCUAUAUAUCCAACUGCUUCUGGAUUGCUAUCUGACAAGUUAAUUAACCACAACACUGUUGAAAUACAUACUCAGAAUCAUUGCUUGGAAUUGGACUUAGCAUUAUCUCAUCAGAGUGCCGUGGAGAGAGCAGACAGAAUCUUCAGUAAGGAAAGAAGUGAAAUAAGAGAACUGUUUUUCAACCAGAGUGAGAGCAUUCAGUCCAGUAAAUCCCUCAUUACAAGUGAUGUUCAAUAUGAUUGAGAUCCUUCCAAACCACAGUCUGGACCCUGAGCAUGACUGGAGAACUCAAGCAACAAAGGAAUUGGAAUUUUUUCUAAGACUGGUCCAGCUCAAAAUAAAUAAAUAAAUAAAUAAAAAUAAAAAAAAUCUGGUUUUUA
This is a non-coding RNA of Meleagris gallopavo (turkey), 1757 nucleotides long. The record is from RefSeq and is a predicted model, not a curated record. Lineage: Eukaryota; Metazoa; Chordata; Aves; Galliformes; Phasianidae.